AUGUCCACUCCACAUUAAUGCCUCCCAUUCAGCAUGGUUUGGAGGCUGUGGACGGACAAACAGUAACACUGUCUGUUUAGGAGGGCUGCACACAGUUUGAGUGCUUUUCCUUAAAGGCUCGACAGGACAUU
Non-coding RNA from Bombina bombina (fire-bellied toad), 131 nucleotides. RefSeq annotates it as small Cajal body-specific RNA 11. The record is from RefSeq and is a predicted model, not a curated record. NCBI's taxonomy places the organism in Eukaryota, Metazoa, Chordata, Amphibia, Anura, Bombinatoridae. The transcript has a single exon.